Molecule: ribosomal RNA, 497 nt
Filed under: uncultured bacterium
Lineage: Bacteria
Description: partial 16S ribosomal RNA
Rfam family: Bacterial small subunit ribosomal RNA
Source: RNAcentral
GAUGAACGCUGGCGGCGUGCCUAAUACAUGCAAGUCGAGCGAACAGACGAGGAGCUUGCUCCUCUGACGUUAGCGGCGGACGGGUGAGUAACACGUGGAUAACCUACCUAUAAGACUGGGAUAACUUCGGGAAACCGGAGCUAAUACCGGAUAAUAUAUUGAACCGCAUGGUUCAAUAGUGAAAGACGGUUUUGCUGUCACUUAUAGAUGGAUCCGCGCCGCAUUGGCUAGUUGGUAAGGUAACGGCUUACCAAGGCAACGAUGCGUAGCCGACCUGAGAGGGUGAUCGGCCACCCUGGAACGGAGACACCGUCCAGACUCCUACGGGAGGCCGCAGUAGGGAAUCUUCCGCAAUGGUCGAAAGCCUGGCGGAGCAACGCCGCGUGAGUGAUGAAGGUCUUCGGAUCGUAAUACUCUGUUAUUAGGGAAGAACAAAUGUGUAAGUAACUAUGCACGUCUUGACGGUACCUAAUCAGAAAGCCCCGGCUAACUACGUG